UACGUAGGGUGCAAGCGUUAAUCGGAAUUACUGGGCGUAAAGCGUGCGCAGGCGGCGAUGUAAGACAGUUGUGAAAUCCCCGGGCUCAACCUGGGAACUGCAUCUGUGACUGCAUCGCUGGAGUGCGGCAGAGGGGGAUGGAAUUCCGCGUGUAGCAGUGAAAUGCGUAGAUAUGCGGAGGAACACCGAUGGCGAAGGCAAUCCCCUGGGCCUGCACUGACGCUCAUGCACGAAAGCGUGGGGAGCAAACAGG
Molecule: ribosomal RNA, 253 nt
Filed under: uncultured bacterium
Lineage: Bacteria
Description: partial 16S ribosomal RNA
Rfam family: Bacterial small subunit ribosomal RNA
Source: RNAcentral